AUUGAACGCUGGCGGAAUGCUUUACACAUGCAUGUCGAACGGUAGAGGGGGCAACCCCUCGAGAGUGGCGAACGGGUGAGUAAUAUAUCGGAACGUGCCCAGUCGUGGGGGAUAACGUAGCGAAAGUUACGCUAAUACCGCAUACGAUCUAAGGAUGAAAGCGGGGGAUCGCAAGACCUCGCGCGAUUGGAGCGGCCGAUAUCAUAUUAGGUAGUUGGUGGGGCAAAGGCUCACCAAGCCAACGAUCUGUAGCUGGUCUGAGAGGACGACCAGCCACACUGGAACUGAGACACGGUCCAGACUCCUACGGGAGGCAGCAGUGGGGAAUUCUGGACAAUGGACGCAAGUCUGAUCCAGCCAUUCCGCGUGCAGGAUGAAGGCCCUCGGGUUGUAAACUGCUUUUGUACGGAACGAAAAGGUCUCUCUUAAUACGGGGGGCUCAUGACGGUACCGUAAGAAUAAGCACCGGCUAACUACGUGCCAGCCGCCGCAGUAA
RNAcentral lists this ribosomal RNA (496 nucleotides) under uncultured bacterium. RNAcentral describes it as "partial 16S ribosomal RNA". It matches the Rfam family "Bacterial small subunit ribosomal RNA", at positions 30 to 523 of the family's 1533-position model. The record is from RNAcentral.